This 504-nucleotide ribosomal RNA is filed under the name uncultured bacterium. RNAcentral's name for it is "bacterial SSU rRNA". It matches the Rfam family "Bacterial small subunit ribosomal RNA", at positions 29 to 520 of the family's 1533-position model. The record is from RNAcentral.
AACGAACGCUGGCGGCGUGGAUAAGACAUGCAAGUCGAACGGGAUCAUUGAGGUAGCAAUAUCGCGAUGGUCUAGUGGCGAACGGGUGCGUAACACGUGGAUACAUUCCGGGAAGCGGGGGAUAGCCCAGGGAAACUUGGAUUAAUACCGCAUGUGGUCGAAAGACUAAAGGCAGGGACCGCAAGGCCUGCCACUUCCCGAUUGGUCCGCGGCCUAUCAGCUAGUUGGCGGGGUAAAAGCCCACCAAGGCUACGACGGGUAGCUGGUCUUAGAGGACGACCAGCCACACUGGAACUGAGACACGGUCCAGACACCUACGGGUGGCAGCAGUCGAGAAUCUUUCACAAUGGGGGCAACCCUGAUGGAGCGACGCCGCGUGGAGGAUAAGGUCUUCGGAUUGUAAACUCCUGUCAUGUGUGAACAAGGCUGCCGUGUUAAUAGCAUGGCAGAUUGAUGGUAACACAAGAGGAAAGAGACGGCUAAACUCUGUGCCAGCAGCCGCGG